Molecule: ribosomal RNA, 205 nt
Filed under: uncultured bacterium
Lineage: Bacteria
Description: partial 16S ribosomal RNA
Rfam family: Bacterial small subunit ribosomal RNA (bases 1-183)
Source: RNAcentral
ACGCUCGACACCUACUGGAGGCAGCAGUGGGGAAUAUUGCACAAUGGGGGAAACCCUGAUGCAGCGACGCCGCGUGGAGGAAGAAGGUCUUCGGAUUGUAAACUCCUGUUGUUGGGGAAAAAGAGGAUGGUACCCAACAAGGAAGUGACGGCUAACUACGUGCCGAGCACGCCGGUAGGUAAUCUGAGGCGGGCGUGGACAAGGC